CUGAAGAAGGACUAAGCUGGUGAUGAGCGGCUUUAAUAGAGGAAUUUGAAGAUCCUUAAGCCUCUUUCCUUUGUUUCCUGAGAUUUCUAAGGCCAGACAUCAGUCCUGGAGUGUGGUGGCCCUGGAAAGCCCUUCGGCUCUGGAGUAGGUCAGUUCUGGGUUGGAAUCCUGUCUCUGCCGCUUACAGCCAGUUUGUGACAGGAGCGUUCACAUUCCCGCUUGAAAGUGAAAGUCCAGAAAAUAUUCACGGGUUGGAACCUUGACUUUCUCAUCCAUCUCAGCUCUAUCACAGAUCUGCUUUGCUGUUUUCUUUUGGUGGUGGCAGUCUCUCUGGUGGUCAUUAUAAUUGCAGUUUACUGCCAACAAAAACAAGAGCG
Molecule: long non-coding RNA, 377 nt
Organism: Lontra canadensis (Northern American river otter)
Lineage: Eukaryota; Metazoa; Chordata; Mammalia; Carnivora; Mustelidae
Exons: 3
Source: RefSeq, a predicted model, not a curated record